Molecule: ribosomal RNA, 252 nt
Filed under: uncultured Opitutus sp.
Lineage: Bacteria; Pseudomonadati; Verrucomicrobiota; Opitutia; Opitutales; Opitutaceae
Description: partial 16S ribosomal RNA
Rfam family: Bacterial small subunit ribosomal RNA
Source: RNAcentral
UACGAGACUGCAAGCGUUAUUCGGAUUCACUGGGCGUAAAGGGUGCGCAGGCGGCCGAGUGUGUGAGGCGUGAAAGCCUGGAGCUCAACUCCAGAAUUGCACCUCAAACUACACGGCUAGAGCAUUGGAGAGGGUAGCGGAAUUCACGGUGUAGCAGUGAAAUGCGUAGAUAUCGUGAGGAACGCCAGAGGCGAAGGCGGCUACCUGGACAAUUGCUGACGCUCAGGCACGAAAGCGUGGGGAGCAAAAGGG